Molecule: long non-coding RNA, 395 nt
Filed under: Nicotiana benthamiana
Lineage: Eukaryota; Viridiplantae; Streptophyta; Magnoliopsida; Solanales; Solanaceae
Description: long non-coding RNA (NBEN_LNC013423)
Source: RNAcentral
GGUGAUGAAACUUGCUGCUUUGGCGUAUGACCUGAUGAAGAUUGAACAGGCACAUUGCCAUCAGGCACUUUCUGCUGGGCCAUCAUCAUUCUGGACUGCAUGAGCGGAAUUAGCUGUGCCAUAAUGUUCGCAUUUGCAGGUAGUGACAGAUCAACAUUACGUUCAAGUGCCAGAGCCUGCAUUGCUUGCAUCUGCGCAGCCAUAGCAAGAGAGUUACUUGUCAUGUUCGCCAUGCUGCAUUUGCAGGUAGUGACAGGUCAACAUUACGUUCAAGUGCCAGAGCCUGCAUUGCUUGCAUCUGCGCAGCCAUAGCAAGAGAGUUACUUGUCAUGUUCGCCAUGCUUUGCUGAGAUGGUGGAGCCUGCAUGGGCUUCGUAGCUACUGCUUGGCCAAGC